CGGUACCUGAAGAAUAAGCACCGGCUAACUACGUGCCAGCAGCCGCGGUAAUACGUAGGGUGCAAGCGUUAAUCGGAAUUACUGGGCGUAAAGCGUGCGCAGGCGGUUUUGUAAGUCUGACGUGAAAUCCCCGGGCUCAACCUGGGAACGGCAUUGGAGACUGCAUAGCUAGAGUAUGGCAGAGGGGGGUGGAAUUCCACGUGUAGCAGUGAAAUGCGUAGAUAUG
This 226-nucleotide ribosomal RNA is filed under the name uncultured Gammaproteobacteria bacterium. Its description in RNAcentral is "partial 16S ribosomal RNA". It matches the Rfam family "Bacterial small subunit ribosomal RNA", at positions 473 to 698 of the family's 1533-position model. The record is from RNAcentral. Lineage: Bacteria; Pseudomonadati; Pseudomonadota; Gammaproteobacteria.